This 2570-nucleotide ribosomal RNA is filed under the name Candidatus Nomurabacteria bacterium RIFCSPLOWO2_02_40_28. Its description in RNAcentral is "bacterial LSU rRNA". It matches the Rfam family "Bacterial large subunit ribosomal RNA", at positions 1 to 2507 of the family's 2925-position model. The record is from RNAcentral. Lineage: Bacteria; Candidatus Nomuraibacteriota.
GAAAUUUAAGGGCGUACGGUGGAUGCCUUGACUUUAAGAGGCGAUGAAGGACGUGGCGUUGCUGCGAUAAGCUUCGGGGAGACGCAAAGCAGUCUUUGAUCCGGAGAUUUCCGAAUGGGGAAACCCUGUAGAGUAAACCUCUACAACCUUGAGCUUUAUGUUCAAGGAGCAUACCCUGGGAAGUGAAACAUCUCAGUACCAGGAGGAGUAGAGAACAAUAGUUAUUUCCUAAGUAGCGGCGAGCGAAAAGGAAGAAGCCCAAACUCGAGUAGCAAUACUCGGGGGUUGUAAGGUAACAAUUUUUAUUUAUUUAAAGAAGAGUCAAAAAAUAAAUUAUUAGCUUAAGUUCUUGGAAAAGGGCACCAUAGAGGGUGAUAGUCCCGUCUGCGAAAAUAAUUUAUCUCUUUUAUUGUUAUUCUUGAGUACCCCAGGACAUGAAUGGCCGGGGGGAAUCCAGCGGAACUAACCGCUAAGGCUAAAUACUCUUAAAGAUCGAUAGUGAACUAGUACCGUGAGGGAAAGGUGAAAAGCAGCCCGAUUAGGGCGGUGAAAUAGACCUGAAACCGUAUGUCUACAAGGAGUCGAACUCCGUCUUCGGAUGGAGAACGGCGUGCCUAUUGAAGAAUGAGCCAACGAGUUUAUGCAUACUGCUAGGUUAAGUUGACUAAAACAACAAAGCCGAAGGGAAACCGAGUGUUAAUAGCGCGACUGUAUAUUUAUUUAUACGGGUAGAAUGCAUAAGACCCGAAGCCAGGUGAGCUUGCCAUGAGCAGGAUGAAGUAGGUCGAAAGACUUAUGGAGGUCCGAACGGGUAGAUCGUACAACGUCUUCCGAUGACUUGUGGUAAGGAGUGAAAAGCUAAUCGAACCUGGUAAUAGCUGGUUCUCUCCGAAAUAGCUUUAGGGCUAGCGUCGUGUGUUUCUUUUGGGGGUAGAGCACUGGAAGGUUUCGACAGGGAGCAAUCUCGCGAAACCUAUCAAACUCCGAAUACUAGAAGUAAGAACACGGCAGUUAGGCCAUGGGGGCGAAGCUCCAUUGGCCAAAAGGGAAACAGCCCGGAUCUCUAAAUAAGGUCCCUAAAUAUAUACUAAGUGUAAGACAAGAAGGUGAAGUUUCUCAAACAAUGAGGAGGUUGGCUUAGAAGCAGCCACCCUUUAAAGAUAGCGUAACAGCUCACUCAUCUAGNNNNNNNNGAGAUUUUGCGUCGAAAAUAAUUGGGGCUAAGUAUAUUACCGAAUUUGAGGAUUUUAAUCCCCUUAGGGGGCCUAAAGUGGUAGGAGAGUGUUCCAAUCCGCAGUGAAGGAGGACCCGUGAGGGCCUCUGGAGCGUUUGGAAGUAAGAAUGUUGGCACAAGUAACCGCAAUGAUGCUGAGAACGCAUCACGUCGAAAGAUCAAGGUUUCCUUGGUAAUGUCAAUCAGCCAAGGGUUAGUCGGGCCUAAGGGAAUGGCGAAAGCCGUACUCGAUGGACAGCGGGUUAAUAUUCCCGCACUUCUGUAUUUUGUGAUGGGAUGACGGAGUGUAGUAUGUAUCGCUCAUUAUUGGAUUUGAAGUUUGUGUAUUUAGGAUGAUGUGUAGGAAAAUCCGCACGCUGCCUUUAAUGGCGAAUCCAAGAUAUAUGAAAAAUUUUAUUCUUCGGGAUAGGACAAUGAUACAAAGCACGCUUCCAAGAAAAAUCUCCUAAACUUAUGAAUAUAGAAUCCGUACCGCAAACCGACACAGGUGAUCAGGUCGAGUAGACCAAGACGAACGAGUGAGUGGUCCCCAAGGAACUCGGCAAAAAAGCAGCCGUAACUUCGGGAUAAGGCUUGCCCCAUAUUUAUUUAUGGGGCCGCAGCGAAAGUAUCUCUGGCAACUGUUUACCAAAAACACAGCUCCCUGCGAACUCGCAAGAGGAUGUAUAGGGGGUGACACCUGACCAAUGCCAGAAGGUCAAAUAUCGCCUUUGUAUGUAGCAAUAUGUAUGGUGAGUGAUAUAAGCCCUGGUGAAUGUCGGCCGUAACUAUAACGGUCCUAAGGUAGCGAAAUACCUUGUCGGGUAAGUUCCGACGCGCACGAAUGGUGUAAUGACUGGAGAACUGUCUCGGGGACCAGCUCGGUGAAAAUACAAUACCGGUGAAGAUGCCGGUUAAGUGCAGUUAGACGAAAAGACCCUAGAAGCUUUACUAUAACUUUAUAUUGAGCAUGUUUUUUGUCUGCGUAGCAUAGAUGGGAGGGGUCUGACGUAUACGGUUUCGGCUGUAUUCUACCCAACAGUGAAAUACCAUUCUUACCGAAGGCAUGUUCUAACCAAAACGGCAAAAACGUUUUGAGACAGUAUAUGGUGGAUAGUUUUACUGGGGCUGUACCCUCCUAAAAAGUAAAGGAGGGGUUUAAAGGUUAGCUAGGCGCGAAUGGAAACCGUGCCGAUAGUGUAAUGGCACAAGCUAGCUUGACUGUGAGAGGUACAUCUCAAGCAGGUGCGAAAGCAGAACAUAGUGAACCGACCACCCGUGUUAGACGCGGUGGAAGAUUAACGGAUAAAAGCUACUCUAGGGAUAACAGGCUAGUUCCGCCCAAGAGUUCAUAUCG